RNAcentral lists this ribosomal RNA (259 nucleotides) under uncultured bacterium. RNAcentral's name for it is "partial 16S ribosomal RNA". It matches the Rfam family "Bacterial small subunit ribosomal RNA", at positions 524 to 776 of the family's 1533-position model. The record is from RNAcentral.
GACGUAGGAGGCGAGCGUUGUCCGGAAUUACUGGGCGUAAAGAGCGCGUAGGCGGCCGUUUACGUGUGGGAUGAAAGCCCCCCUGCUCAACGGGGGGAGUGUUCCACAAACGGGGCGGCUUUGUGGAGUGUGGAGGGGGGAGUGCGGAACGGCCGGUGGAGCGGUGAAAUGCGUAGAGAUCGGCCAGAACACCAGUGGCGAAGGCGGCACUCUGAGCCACAACUGACGCUGAGGCGCGAAAGCGUGGGGAGCGAACGGA